CAGAAAGAUGGGAUGUCCUGCCCCAGCAAAAAUCUAAUGAUUUUCUCUCUCUGUAGGAGAAAACGAAUACAGCAGGGAUGACUUCCACCAGCUCCACUUUGCAGCUCUGAGGUGUAUUAAAAAUAAACCUAGAGCCCCACCAAAUGAAUCCGCUGGCACGUGGACCUCAGAUGGGGGAAACUGAGGACUGAAUUCUGACCACCCUCCUUUGUUCUAAAUUUCUUCCUGAAGGACCUGGAAGAAGUCAUGCCACGGGCCAGACCUUAACAUUCCUUUCGGCUUACCCCAGGAUUUCAGACAAAGCUUCACUUUCCUAACCAGUCACAAAUCAGAGAAUUUUUGAUUCCACCUAUGACCUGUGAGCUCCUGCUUCAAGAUAUUCCACCUUUUUUAGGCCAAACCAAUGUAUAACCUCCAAGUGUCGAUUUACACUUUCGACUGUAACUUCUGCUUUCCUGAGAUUUACCCCUGCCUUUAAAAACCCUUGCUUGUAAUCCCUCAGGGAGGCCGUGUAUUUAUUAAUCAUGAGCUGCCCAAUUCUCCUUGCUUGGUGCCCUGCAAAUAAACACCCUCUUUUCUC
Molecule: long non-coding RNA, 580 nt
Filed under: Homo sapiens (human)
Lineage: Eukaryota; Metazoa; Chordata; Mammalia; Primates; Hominidae
Description: non-protein coding lnc-ERI1-32:26
Source: RNAcentral